This 301-nucleotide ribosomal RNA is filed under the name uncultured bacterium. RNAcentral describes it as "partial 16S ribosomal RNA". It matches the Rfam family "Bacterial small subunit ribosomal RNA", at positions 509 to 807 of the family's 1533-position model. The record is from RNAcentral.
CAGUAGCCGCGGGAAUACGGAGGGUGCAAGCGUUAAUCGGAAUUACUGGGCGUAAAGCGCACGUAGGCGGCUUGGUAAGUUAGAGGUGAAAGCCCGGAGCUCAACUCCGGAAUUGCCUUUAAGACUGCCGAGCUAGUAGGUGAGAGAGGUAAGUGGAAUUCCGAGUGUAGAGGUGAAAUUCGUAGAUAUUCGGAGGAACACCAGUGGCGAAGGCGGCUCACUGGUCCAUUACUGACGCUGAGGUGCGAAAGCGUGGGGAGCAAACAGGAUUAGAUACCCCUGUAGUCCCUGUCUCUUAUAC